RNAcentral lists this ribosomal RNA (392 nucleotides) under uncultured Gammaproteobacteria bacterium. RNAcentral's name for it is "bacterial SSU rRNA". It matches the Rfam family "Bacterial small subunit ribosomal RNA", at positions 370 to 779 of the family's 1533-position model. Lineage: Bacteria; Pseudomonadati; Pseudomonadota; Gammaproteobacteria. The record is from RNAcentral.
AAUGGGCGCAAGCCCGAUGCAGCCAUGCCGCGUGUGUGAUGAAGGCCUUAGGGUUGUAAAACACUUUCAUCGGUGAAGAUAAUGACGGUAGCCGAAGAAGAAGCCCCGGCUAACUCCGUGCCAGCAGCCGCGGUAAUACGGAGGGGGCAAGCGUUGUUCGGAAUUACUGGGCGUAAAGCGCACGUAGGCGGACUGAUCAGUUGGGGGUGAAAUCCCGAGGCUUAACCUCGGAACUGCCCUCAAUACUGUCAGUCUUGAGAUCGGAAGAGGUGAGUGGAAUUCCUAGUGUAGAGGUGAAAUUCGUAGAUAUUAGGAAGAACACCAGUGGCGAAGGCGGCUCACUGGUCCGAUACUGACGCUGAGGUGCGAAAGCGUGGGGAGCGAACAGGAUU